Molecule: non-coding RNA, 1117 nt
Organism: Penaeus vannamei (Pacific white shrimp)
Lineage: Eukaryota; Metazoa; Arthropoda; Malacostraca; Decapoda; Penaeidae
Source: RefSeq, a predicted model, not a curated record
GAAAAAAUCAAACCAAAAUAAAUGAGAUCCUUAACAUGAAAAAGAUGAAUAACUUUAAUUUGGUCAGAAAGAAUUAUCAGCUCCUGACAGGAAGUUUGCAUACAUAACGACUAUAAUAAUUGUAUACGUAACUAUAAUUAUAAGUUCAACAAACUUUCAAUUUCUUCCUGUAAAAUUGGCUCUUCCACAGCUAUUUCAACAUACACAGGCUAAAGGUCCAUCAGAUUUUUAGGUGGCUGGUUUCUCUCAAUACAAACAUGGCCCUUUGCUACCUGGAUGAGCACAUCAGCUUACAAAAUUACUUUUUUGACCUGAUAAUGUUGAAUAUGCAUAAAGUGUGUUCCAUAGAACUGGCUCUGCCACAAUGAUAUUCAAGAAAUGAAACUGGCUCUUUGCCACAAUGAGGUUGAAUAUGCAUAAAGUGUAUUCAUAAAUUGGCUCUUUGCCACAAUGAGGUUGAACAUACAAAGUGUAUUCAUGAAACUGGCUCUUUGCCACAAUGAGGUUGAAUAUACAUAAAGUGUAUUCAUGAAACUGGCUCCUUGCCACAAUGAGGUUGAACAUACAUAAAGUGUAUUCAUAAAUUGGUUCUUUGCCACAAUGAGGUUGAAUAUACAUAAGAGUGUUUUCAUAAAUUGGCUCUUUGCCACAAUGAGGUUGAACAUACAUAAAGUGUAUUCAUGAAACUGGCUCCUUGCCACAAUGAGGUUGAAUAUACAUAAAGUGUAUUCAUGAAACUGGCUCCUUGCCACAAUGAGGUUGAACAUACAUAAAGUGUAUUCAUGAAACUGGCUCCUUGCCACAAUGAGGUUGAACAUACAUAAAGUGUAUUCAUAAAUUGGCUCUUUGCCACAAUGAGGUUGAAUAUACAUAAAGUGUAUUCAUGAAACUGGCUCCUUGCCACAAUGAGGUUGAAUAUACAUAAAGUGUAUUCAUAAAUUGGCUCUUUGCCACAAUGAGAUUGAAUAUACAUAAAGUGUAUUCAUGAAACUGGCUCCUUGCCACAAUGAGGUUGAAUAUACAUAAAGUGCAUUCAUGAAACUGGCUCCUUGCCACAAUGAGGUUGAAUAUACAUAGAGUGUAUUCAUAAAACUGGCUCUUUGCCACAAUGAGGUUG